GGCCACAGCCAUAUCACACUGCAGCCCAAGUUGGUUACUCACUAAGCACGGCUGAGCCUGGUCAGUAACUGGAUGGGAGACCACAUGGGAAGACUAGGUUGUUGUUGAAA
This is a non-coding RNA of Danio rerio (zebrafish), 110 nucleotides long. The record is from Rfam. Lineage: Eukaryota; Metazoa; Chordata; Actinopteri; Cypriniformes; Danionidae.